GUCUGAUUAGCUAGUUGGUAGGGUAAUGGCCUACCAAGGCGACGAUCAGUAGCUGGUCUGAGAGGAUGAUCAGCCACACUGGGACUGAGACACGGCCCAGACUCCUACGGGAGGCAGCAGUGGGGAAUCUUAGACAAUGGGGGCAACCCUGAUCUAGCCAUGCCGCGUGAGUGAUGAAGGCCCUAGGGUUGUAAAGCUCUUUCGUGGGGGAAGAUAAU
RNAcentral lists this ribosomal RNA (218 nucleotides) under Alexandrium tamarense. Its description in RNAcentral is "partial Bacterial small subunit ribosomal RNA". It matches the Rfam family "Bacterial small subunit ribosomal RNA", at positions 235 to 452 of the family's 1533-position model. Lineage: Eukaryota; Dinophyceae; Gonyaulacales; Pyrocystaceae. The record is from RNAcentral.